Molecule: ribosomal RNA, 220 nt
Filed under: uncultured bacterium
Lineage: Bacteria
Description: partial 16S ribosomal RNA
Rfam family: Bacterial small subunit ribosomal RNA
Source: RNAcentral
GAUCAUGGCUCAGGAUGAACGCUGGCGGCGUGCUUAACACAUGCAAGUCGAACGAAGCGCUUGAAUGGAAUUCUUCGGAAGGAAGCUCAAGUGACUGAGUGGCGGACGGGUGAGUAACGCGUGGGUAACCUGCCUCAUACAGGGGGAUAAACAGUUAGAAAUGACUGCUAAUACCGCAUAAGCACACGUGAUCGCAUGAUCGAGUGUGAAAAACUCCGGU